This is a non-coding RNA of Mycena belliarum, 91 nucleotides long. The record is from the annotation of a GenBank genome assembly. NCBI's taxonomy places the organism in Eukaryota, Fungi, Basidiomycota, Agaricomycetes, Agaricales, Mycenaceae.
GGCCGAAUGGCCGAGUGGUUAAGGCGUCAGAUUUAAGCCAUUGAUUCCUGAUGGGCGGACGCCCGCGCGAGUUCGAUCCUCGCUUCGGCCA